RNAcentral lists this ribosomal RNA (466 nucleotides) under uncultured bacterium. RNAcentral's name for it is "partial 16S ribosomal RNA". It matches the Rfam family "Bacterial small subunit ribosomal RNA", at positions 28 to 507 of the family's 1533-position model. The record is from RNAcentral.
GACGAACGCUGGCGGCGUGCUUAACACAUGCAAGUCGAACGGAAAGGCCUUGCUUGCCUGGUACUCGAGUGGCGAACGGGUGGGUAACGGGUGGGUAACCCGCCCUUCACCUCGGGAUAACCUUGGGAAACUGGGUCUAAUCCCGGACUAGUACCAUCUUGAGCUGGAGGGUUGGGCAGUUUUUUCGGUGGAGGAUGAGCUGGCGUGCUAUCGGCUUGUUGGUGUGGUAGUGGCCUACCAGGGCGGCGACGGGUAGCCGGCCUGAGAGGGUGUAGGGCCACAUUCGGCCUGGGAUACGGCCCAGGCUCGUAGUGGGGGCAGCAGUGGGGAAGAUGGAACAAUGGGCGAGAGCCUGAUGCAGGGACGCCGCGUGGGGGAUGAAGGCCUUCGGGUUGGAACCUCAUGAAGCUAGGUACGAAGCUUUGUUGUGACGGUACCUAGAGAAGAAGCACCGGCUAACUACGUG